UUUUGUCAAACUUAAAAUUUUCUCCUCCAAAGAAUACUAUCAAAAUAUUUGAAAAGGAAUUGGAAGAAUAUUUCAUUUCUGGAAGAAUAUUUCUUUUUGGGAAUCUAGCUGCGAAAACUACACGGAAUAUUAAUAUUUUUGCCUUCUGGGCGAACUACCGCCAAUGGACACUUUAUUCGAUUUUUCCAUUAUCUGCUGAGAUUAAAAGACGAAAAUCAACAUUGGCUGCCAGAAAUAUCGGCGUUACGAAGAAUUAGAAUUGUUCUCAUACCGGAAAUUAACGUAUCGCAUUUUUGAAGAUUCUUAAACAAUUCCCAACAAACUGUUGAAAUAUUAAGGCGGCCUUUCCUGCAUUUCAUCAUUUGCUAUCAGAAUCUCAAAACACACUCGAGUAUUACAUCAUCUAAAUGGUCGUGACAUAUGAAAUUAAUUUUGAUUUUAUCUGUUUGGGAAUAGUUGGUUUGAUUUCUAAAAUUGCCAUUGAAGAUUACUCCCACAUGGGCAAUUUGAUUUAGUACAGAAGAUUCGGAUCAUGAGUUGUGUGGUUUCAUUGGCGUUCGGUUUGAUGGUAAUGAAAGGCUGGAUACCGUCUCCCGAGAAUAUUGGUUGGAAAUGUGGACUCACCAUACUGAUAUGCGGGGCCAUAUCGUGAAAUACAAAAUUAGCCAGUGAAUUAAAAACCCGUUCGGAGUAUUACUGUAGUGAUCUAAUACCGUCACCUGUAUUUGGAAUUUACCAUUCCCUGACAACAUCGGUGGGGUGAAACCCAUAUAUGCGGGCUAUACCUAAAUAUAUACCUAUAUUAAAAAUCUUA
Molecule: long non-coding RNA, 814 nt
Organism: Musca domestica (house fly)
Lineage: Eukaryota; Metazoa; Arthropoda; Insecta; Diptera; Muscidae
Exons: 2
Source: RefSeq, a predicted model, not a curated record